GAUGAACGCAAGCGGCAGGCCUAACACAUGCAAGUCGAGGGAGAAGCCCUUUCGGGGGCAGAAACCGGCGCACGGGUGCGUAACGCGUAUGCAACCUACCUUUCACAGGGGGAUAGCCCGAAGAAAUUUGGAUUAAUACCCCAUAAUAUUAUUGGAUGGCAUUAUUUGAUAAUUAAAACUGCGGUGGUGAAAGAUGGGCAUGCGUCCUAUUAGCUAGUUGGAGUGGUAACGGCACCCCAAGGCUACGAUAGGUAGGGGUCCUGAGAGGGAGAUCCCCCACACUGGUACUGAGACAGGGACCAGACUCCUACGGGAGGCAGCAGUGAGGAAUAUUGGUCAAUGGUCGGAAGACUGAACCAGCCAUGCCGCGUGCAGGAAGAAUGCCUUAUGGGUUGUAAACUGCUUUUAUAUGGGAAGAAUAAGGUGUACGAGUACAUUGAUGACGGUACCAUAUGAAUAAGCAUCGGCUAACUCCGUGCCAGCAGCCGCGGUAAUACGGAGGAUGCGAGCGUUAUUCGGAAUCAUUGGGUUUAAAGGGUCUGUAGGCGGGCUAUUAAGUCAGGGGUGAAAGGUUUCAGCUUAACUGAGAAAUUGCCUUUGAUACUGGUAGUCUUGAAUAUCUGUGAAGUUCUUGGAAUGUGUAGUGUAGCGGUGAAAUGCUUAGAUAUUACACAGAACACCGAUUGCGAAGGCAGGGGACUAACAGACAAUUGACGCUGAGAGACGAAAGCGUGGGGAGCGAACAGG
RNAcentral lists this ribosomal RNA (747 nucleotides) under uncultured Capnocytophaga sp. Its description in RNAcentral is "bacterial SSU rRNA". It matches the Rfam family "Bacterial small subunit ribosomal RNA", at positions 28 to 776 of the family's 1533-position model. The record is from RNAcentral. Lineage: Bacteria; Pseudomonadati; Bacteroidota; Flavobacteriia; Flavobacteriales; Flavobacteriaceae.